Molecule: ribosomal RNA, 522 nt
Filed under: Mesocriconema curvatum
Lineage: Eukaryota; Metazoa; Nematoda; Chromadorea; Rhabditida; Criconematidae
Description: eukaryotic LSU rRNA
Rfam family: Eukaryotic large subunit ribosomal RNA
Source: RNAcentral
UGAAACACGGACCAAGGAGUUUAGCGUAUGCGCGAGUCAUUGGGUGCACAAACCUAGAGGCGCAAUGAAAGUAAAGGCUCGGUCGCCGGGCUGACAUGCGAGUGCCGCGGCUUCGGCCCAGGCAUGCAGCAUGGUCCCGUUGCAGCCGCUUGCGGCGCAGCGGAGACAGAGCGUAUGCGCUGAGACCCGAAAGAUGGUGAACUAUUCCUGAGCAGGACGAAGCCAGAGGAAACUCUGGUGGAAGUCCGAAGCGAUUCUGACGUGCAAAUCGAUCGUCUGACUUGGGUAUAGGGGCGAAAGACUAAUCGAACCAUCUAGUAGCUGGUUCCCUCCGAAGUUUCCCCCAGGAUAGCUGGAGCGUGUGCAUACACAGUUACACUCGGUAAAGCGAACGAUUAGAGGACUUGGGGACGAAAUGUCCUUAACCUAUUCUCAAACUCUAAAUGGGUGUGAAGCAGGCGUUGCUUGACUCUGAACGCCAGCGUUGAAUGUGCGCUCCAAGUGGGCCAUUUUUGGUAAGCA